AUUGAACGCUGGCGGCAGGCUUAACACAUGCAAGUCGAACGGUAACAUAAAGAAGCUUGCUUCUUUGAUGACGAGUGGCGGACGGGUGAGUAAUGCUUGGGAAUCUAGCUUAUGGAGGGGGAUAACUACGGGAAACUGUAGCUAAUACCGCGUAGAAUCGAGAGAUGAAAGUGUGGGACCUUCGGGCCACAUGCCAUAGGAUGAGCCCAAGUGGGAUUAGCUAGUUGGUGAGGUAACGGCUCACCAAGGCAACGAUACAUAGCCGACCUGAGAGGGUGAUCGGCCACACUGGGACUGAGACACGGCCCAGACUCCUACGGGAGGCAGCAGUAGGGAAUCUUCGGCAAUGGACGGAAGUCUGACCGAGCAACGCCGCGUGAGUGAAGAAGGUUUUCGGAUCGUAAAGCUCUGUUGUAAGAGAAGAACGAGUGUGAGAGUGGAAAGUUCACACUGUGACGGUAUCUUACCAGAAAGGGACGGCUAACUACGUGCCAGCAGCCGCGGUAAUACGUAGGUCCCGAGCGUUGUCCGGAUUUAUUGGGCGUAAAGCGAGCGCAGGCGGUUAGAUAAGUCUGAAGUUAAAGGCUGUGGCUUAACCAUAGUACGCUUUGGAAACUGUUUAACUUGAGUGCAAGAGGGGAGAGUGGAAUUCCAUGUGUAGCGGUGAAAUGCGUAGAUAUAUGGAGGAACACCGGUGGCGAAAGCGGCUCUCUGGCUUGUAACUGACGCUGAGGCUCGAAAGCGUGGGGAGCAAACAGG
This 759-nucleotide ribosomal RNA is filed under the name uncultured Streptococcus sp. RNAcentral's name for it is "bacterial SSU rRNA". It matches the Rfam family "Bacterial small subunit ribosomal RNA", at positions 28 to 776 of the family's 1533-position model. The record is from RNAcentral. Lineage: Bacteria; Bacillati; Bacillota; Bacilli; Lactobacillales; Streptococcaceae.